AUUGAACGCUGGCGGCAUGCUUUACACAUGCAAGUCGAACGGUAACAGGUUAAGCUGACGAGUGGCGAACGGGUGAGUAAUGCAUCGGAACGCGCCCGGUCGUGGGGGAUAACGCAGCGAAAGCUGCGCUAAUACCGCAUACGACCUGAGGAUGAAAGCCGGGGACCGUAAGGCCUCGCGCGAUCGGAGCGGCCGAUGUCAGAUUAGGUAGUUGGUGGGGGAAAGGCUCACCAAGCCAACGAUCUGUAGCUGGUCUGAGAGGACGACCAGCCACACUGGGACUGAGACACGGCCCAGACUCCUACGGGAGGCAGCAGUGGGGAAUUUUGGACAAUGGGCGAAAGCCUGACCCAGCAAUGCCGCGUGCAGGAAGAAGGCCUUCGGGUUGUAAACUGCUUUUGUACGGAGCGAAAAGAUCUCCUCUAAUACAGGGGGCUCAUGACGGUACCGUAAGAAUAAGCACCGGCUAACUACGUGCCAGCAGCCGCCGUAA
This 493-nucleotide ribosomal RNA is filed under the name uncultured bacterium. Its description in RNAcentral is "partial 16S ribosomal RNA". It matches the Rfam family "Bacterial small subunit ribosomal RNA", at positions 29 to 523 of the family's 1533-position model. The record is from RNAcentral.